UUAGGUAUUUUAACAAACAAUGAGCAGGUAAUGAAUGCGUUUAGUACAUAAAAAUAGGGCUUUUGGUGCUCGGUAAAGACUCUUUGCAGCACUUACACAAUAGUUACAAAGUGUUUUUCACACUAUUCUCAAAGCACAAUGUUACAAAUGCUGCACACAUUUCUGACUAAUCUAAAAAACAUAUAGAUUCAACUUGGUACAAAACUAGUCACACUUAGCAACCUAUUUGCUAGCAACGUAAACUCAUACCAACUCAAGCUACAGCUGUCAAUAACGGAAACCAAGUGGCACCAUACCAUGAGAGCCGAUGAUGACUCUUAACAAGAUGAAGUUUUUUGCUUUGGUGCGGGAUUUAUGGCUGAGACAUAGAGAAAAAAUGAAAGUACAAGAAGAGGGAAAAAAGGCAAGUUUGUUUUGUAGUUUAAUUUUAACAGAUUUUUUAAUUUUAUUAGAAAACUUUAAAAACAAGAUACCUUUUUUCUCAUAAGAAAUUCUUUUGAAAUAAAAUUCACAUCA
RNAcentral lists this long non-coding RNA (516 nucleotides) under Durio zibethinus. Its description in RNAcentral is "long non-coding RNA (DZIB_LNC000880)". The record is from RNAcentral. Lineage: Eukaryota; Viridiplantae; Streptophyta; Magnoliopsida; Malvales; Malvaceae.